RNAcentral lists this long non-coding RNA (1230 nucleotides) under Equus caballus (horse). Its description in RNAcentral is "lncRNA (ENSECAG00000055680.1)". Lineage: Eukaryota; Metazoa; Chordata; Mammalia; Perissodactyla; Equidae. The record is from RNAcentral.
UAUUAAUGUGUUAUUAUUAAUUUUUUUUUAGGAAGACUGACCCUGAGCUAACACCCGUGCCCAUCUUCCUCUGCUUUAUAUGUGGCUUGAUGAGCGGUGCCAGGAAAAGAUGCCUCUAAGAAGACAGAUCAGGCCAAGGACACAUGCUGGAGAGGAAGGAGCCCAGGAACAUGGUGAGCUGUCCAAGCCAGGAAGAAGAAACAGCCCUGAGCUUCUGUAGGAACAUCACAUUCUGGCCACCAGCGAUACUAAGAAGUGGACUCGGGGUCCUGUUUCCUUGGAAGCUGCCAAGUUAAGAUAAGCGUGGAAUGCUGUGUCCAAACCCCUUAGGGCCUGGUUUGGAAACCAAAGCUGCUUCCUUGUGUCAAAGUGACCCAUGGCCUCGGCGCCUCCAGGCAAGAGCUGCUGCACAUUCCCACUGAGGGACCCAGACAGCAGAGCUGCUCAAGUCUGGGAUGUGAGGAAACACAGUUUCCCAGGACACCGUAACUGACGCCCGUGAACGAAAGCAGUUGUUCCAGCUUCACUCCUUCUACCAACCCGCACCUGCGUCACGUUGAGUGGUCUGCCCGCUGGAUUCGCAGGGAACGCAGUUGCAUUUUUACCCAAAGGCAGUACAGACACAGUGAAAGCUUUUAAGAUCUCCAAGUCUUAAACACCUUUCGUCUCCAGAACCGGGCAUAAGCCUGGCACAAAAUGAACCGAAUUGGAGCCUCUCUCCCUGGAAACCAGGGUCUUCAUCUUUCACACACUCCCCUGCGUGAUGUUUGUGCGCACUACGGUUUGAGAACAGCUAAUCCAGACGGUGUGAUUUUUUUUUCUUUUCUAAGUUCUGCUCAUCUAAUAAAUCAACGGGAACGUAUUGAUUCACUGGUCCAUUCAGCCAACAUUUACUGAGGGCCAGGUACAGAGGUAACUACAGCGAAAAAGGCUCGGGGAGCUUACAGUUUUCCAGUAAACUCAUCUGUCAAGACCAUUUGCCCUGAUCUGAGAGAGAUUUUGUUUCACUUUUUUUAGACCAAAAGGAAGAAAAGUGGCAGCACACUUUCUGCCCAGCAGUCACAUUUGCUGAUAUUUACAGGCUCGGUUGUCUACAGGGGUUACUUCUCAGAGGAUGGGGUGCUGGGGAGUGGGAAGAGAAAUAUGCUUGAUUGUGCUGCCUCAGUUCUUAUUGUCCCCUCUAGUCUAGUCCACUCUCCACCUCCUGAACCCCAGCUGAUAGCUCAGUGU